This 1749-nucleotide long non-coding RNA is filed under the name Trifolium pratense (red clover). RNAcentral's name for it is "long non-coding RNA (TPRA_LNC011660)". The record is from RNAcentral. Lineage: Eukaryota; Viridiplantae; Streptophyta; Magnoliopsida; Fabales; Fabaceae.
UAACCCUAAAUUCUUGCCCAAUACAUAAUCUGCAUCUGUUUCAUCUAACCAAUCAUAUCUUGCCAUGACUAGGUUUUGCUAUUUAGGGUUUCUUUUCAUUUUAGGGUUUCCAUUCCAUUUCAUUUUAGGGUAUGUGGAACACAUGCAUUGGGCCCAGUAGCAUAUAUAUUUCUCUUUUCCCAAAUUUUAUUCAUUUGUGAAGUUUUUUUCUCUCUCUUCUUUCUUUUCUCUCUCAUUCGAUCUCUUUUUUCUCAGCAUCUCUCAUCUAUGCCCCAUCUCAUCCUUCACCCUAACAUCCAUCACAACCUCCACCAAGAUCAACUCAAAAUUCACAUGCAAGUGUAGAUUUGUAAUCCUUGAGUCUUGGGCUUUCAAGGAAGGUAAGCAUCAAACCAAUCUCUCCAUUCCUUCUCAAAUUAGUGUCUUUUAAUCAAGCCUAAGAUUGAGUUUCAUCUUGCAUAUGAGCUUCAAGGAUCAAGAAGCCAUGGUUAAGGGAUUUGGAGCAAUUUAGAAGAAGAUUGAUGAAACCCGUGUUCCUAGACAGGGCUUCCCUAAAACGGUCAGUACUCUCUCCUCGUAGCUCUGAUUUAAAUUUCGUUUGUUGCUAUGGAAAGCUAACGAAAUUCCCGUCAUUUUGGGUACAAGUUUCGCUAUUUUUGGAUCAGUAUUGAUGUCUGAACAUGCUUCUGAAGUUGAGGGUUGAAGCUGUCAAAAUGGUGUUUUGAGGGCUGCGGGUUUGGGUACACAAACGGUGCAAAUGGAUGAUUUUAGGCUUGCGGAACAACGUGGUACGGCUGUUGAAUCAGGUGGGUUCCCUUAGGAAACGAUCACUUAAUACUUUUGAUUAUUGUGUUAUUAGCGUGAUUCUAAUUUGAAUUUUGUAACUGUUUAGGGAAUUCAUCAGCUUCUUUCUAUAAUUGAUGCUUUACAUCCACCAUUGCUAAAUGGUUUGCAGUUUGUGGAAGAUGCUCAACGGAAUGAGCAUGUAUUGUCAACUGGUUGUUAAGGGUAUUAUUCUCAGACUCAACUCAAACUGUAGUUGAAUGAAUUUGCAGAAUGCACAAUUUUUUUAAUACUUAUUAUGAUGUGCAUAUUAGUGGCAAAACACGAAUCUAGAAAUGUUGAAAGUGAAAUGCAAAUUUUAGUAAACCUAGCUUGCCACUACUAGGUUAACAUUUCUCCAUUGAAUCUAGGUUUAGGGUUAAAUGUGUAUGUAUGUAAUGAACAAGUGACUUGCACAUGGUUGCAAUGAUUUGGUCUGCAUCAAUUUUAUUGGACCUCUACUUGCACCAAUUAGAGAGCUCCACCAAUUACAAAGUGACACUUAGGGUUAAAUGUGUUCUGCUGUGGCCAACUUUGUAAAGUAUAAAUUCACAAAAAUCUUAACAAUAUAGAUGGUGUUGCACCUAGGGCUAAAAGGAACCAGCAAUGGUCUACGCGGUUUAGGGCAGCUAAAGAUAUGCAUCUGAUGCGGUAGGUUGCGUAGCUUAAUUUUGAAUUUUGGGUUUUAAAUUGUAUAGAUGUUGUUUGAUUACAUUGAUAGGUUGUUUCAACAAUAUGCUAUUGUUAGGCAAUACUAAGGCUGGAUUGGUGGGAAAAACAAGUCUGUUACUGAGUGAAAAGGUAGUUUUGACUUUGAGCGUAGGUUCAUGAACUUCUCAAUUUCCUUAAUUCACCGUUUAUUUAACUUUGGUUGAUUUCAUCCCUCUUAGGCCUUAGCUGCUCAUACAUGAAUAUUUUAUUUUUAUU